This 510-nucleotide ribosomal RNA is filed under the name uncultured bacterium. Its description in RNAcentral is "bacterial SSU rRNA". It matches the Rfam family "Bacterial small subunit ribosomal RNA", at positions 28 to 526 of the family's 1533-position model. The record is from RNAcentral.
GAUGAACGCUAGCGACAGGCUUAACACAUGCAAGUCGAGGGGCAGCGGGGAUUAUAGCAAUACUAUUUGCCGGCGACCGGCGCACGGGUGAGUAACACGUAUGCAACCUACCCACUACAGGGGGAUAGCUCGCUGAAAGGCGAAUUAAUACCGCAUAAUACAGGGAUCUCGCAUGAGAUUAUUUGUUAAAGAAUUUUCGGUAGUGGAUGGGCAUGCGUUCCAUUAGCUAGUUGGUAAGGUAACGGCUUACCAAGGCAACGAUGGAUAGGGGUUCUGAGAGGAAGGUCCCCCACACUGGUACUGAGACACGGACCAGACUCCUACGGGAGGCAGCAGUGAGGAAUAUUGGUCAAUGGGCGAGAGCCUGAACCAGCCAAAUCGCGUGAAGGACGACGGUAUUAUGUAUUGUAAACUUCUUUUAUAAGGGAAUAAAAAGUAGGACGUGUCCUAUGUUGCAUGUACCUUAUGAAUAAGCAUCGGCUAACUCCGUGCCAGCAGCCGCAGUAAGAC